AUCCUUUUAUUUUAUACGGGCAACACUGCUGCCACCGUGAUGACAACCCUAUGAAGAUUUUGACAGAUAGAGCGCGCGUUUUCUUCGUGCACUGAUAAACUAUGUUUUCUUACGAUUGUUAUUAAAAAUUGUGUUUUAAAAGUGAAUACAAGAAGUUAUUGUGAUACGAAUUGACGUUUUAUUUCUGAUGAAAGCUAGGAGAUCAUACCCUAGCUUAUAUCAGAAGCGGGAAGAACAGAAAACGCCUAGUUACCAAUGGGGCGCGAAUGCUCCGAAUGAUCUCGAAAUUAAUGAUCACGCCACACUAUGCGAAACACUUCUUUACGAAGACGAGAUGACCACAGCACUGAUUGCUCAACCGCAAUAAUGCAUCAAGGACUUUUCUACUCAAGGAAAACAAAGCGACAUGGUCAACAGGGGCACGAUUCUCCUAAUUUUACUUAAAAACAUUCGAUUUACGUUCGAUUGCGAUCCAAUCCCGACUCGAUUACGAUUGAAACCGCUCGUGAACGCUGAUGGUAUUGAAGAGUAAAACUGAAUGCCUACAAUCGGAUGAGAUUAUAACUGCGAAAGACUUGUGGAGCCAAUAAUGACGACGACCAGACAAGAUUCUUGUGUGUAGAUUACUGCUUGAUACACACUACGCCUGAUGGCGAUUAGACACCUCCACCGUGAUGAAACAUUUUACCAGGUACCCGAGACAUUGGACAAUCAGAUGGCUGGAAAGCAGGUGGCAAGUGAGAGUGCUUGGCCUCUGCAUCAGUAAAGAGAGGCAGGUGGCAAGUGAGAGUGCUUGGCCUCUGCAACAGUAAAGAGAGGCAGGUGGCAAGUGAGAGUGCUUGGCCUCUGCAUCAGUAAAGAGAGGCAGGUGGCAAGUGAGAGUGCUUGGCCUCUGCAACAGUAAAGAGAGGCAGGUGGCAAGUGAGAGUGCUUGGCCUCUGCAUCAGUAAAGAGAGGCAGGUGGCAAGUGAGAGUGCUUGGCCUCUGCAACAGUAAAGAGAAGCAGGUGGCAAGUGAGAGUGCUUGGCCUCUGCAUCAGUAAAGAGAGGCAGGUGGCAAGUGAGAGUGCUUGGCCUCUGCAUCAGUAAAGAGAAGCAGGUGGCAAGUGAGAGUGCUUGGCCUGUAAGCUUACAAUGUAGUAAAUGAUGUCAUUGCUUGAAGUUGUACAGUGACUGGCAAGUGAGAGUGCUUGGCCAGUGAAGCUAUGAAAAGAUAUGGUAACAAAUGUAGAAUAUAAAAAUAUUAAUAUCAGAUCUGUUUGAAAACUUGAUUACCCAGUAUACAUAUCUUUUCUUUGAAUUGUAUAAAUUAUUUUGCUAGUAAAAAUUGCACUAAAA
This is a long non-coding RNA of Helicoverpa zea (corn earworm), 1337 nucleotides long. RefSeq lists it as uncharacterized. The record is from RefSeq and is a predicted model, not a curated record. NCBI's taxonomy places the organism in Eukaryota, Metazoa, Arthropoda, Insecta, Lepidoptera, Noctuidae. The transcript has 2 exons.